This 550-nucleotide long non-coding RNA is filed under the name Heterocephalus glaber (naked mole-rat). RNAcentral's name for it is "lncRNA (ENSHGLG00100043494.1)". Lineage: Eukaryota; Metazoa; Chordata; Mammalia; Rodentia; Bathyergidae. The record is from RNAcentral.
GCAGCCGCUGCCAGCGCCAAGUCCAGCCAGUAACCGAUAGGGCUGCCCUCCUCGGAGUCAUCAACGGGCUUGGAAUUCCAUUCCUACGCUUCCCAAGGGAAACAACCCCUACUUCCAGCCAGGUGCUCAGAGCGAGAGGGUCUUCUUGUCGUUUGCUCCUGAGUCCCCAGAGCCAGGCACAUAGUACUCAGUAGACGUCGGUGGCCUCAAAGGUCACAGGGGCAUGAGUGCCUAGCCUGGCGAUGCCUGGGGGAGAAGGAGAGGUCGGAGGACACCGAAGUUAACACAGCUGGGUGCAAGAACACUUCCUGGGGCAUAGGCCAACGGUUACUGAACGGCCAUUGUGUUCCAGGUAUAGGAUUUAAAGCCUUACACCUAAGGGCAAACUCUGGAAGCAGUCCAGAUGUUCAUCAGGAGGAUGAAUGAAGAGACAAAUUGGUGUACUCACAAAAUGGAAUUAUAUACAGCACCAAGAAGAACAAAUUCUUGAUACAACAUAUGUCAUGGAUGGCUGUCCACAUGGGUGAAUGGGCUUCACGGAAAGAUUAAU